Molecule: transfer RNA, 67 nt
Filed under: Marmota monax (woodchuck)
Lineage: Eukaryota; Metazoa; Chordata; Mammalia; Rodentia; Sciuridae
Rfam family: tRNA
About the family: Transfer RNA (tRNA) molecules are approximately 80 nucleotides in length.
Source: Rfam by way of RNAcentral
GGUUGUGGCUCAGUGGUAGCGUGCUUGCCUAGCAUGCAUGAGGUACUGGGUUCGAUUCUCAGCACCA